RNAcentral lists this long non-coding RNA (618 nucleotides) under Physcomitrium patens. RNAcentral's name for it is "long non-coding RNA (PPAT_LNC009360)". Lineage: Eukaryota; Viridiplantae; Streptophyta; Bryopsida; Funariales; Funariaceae. The record is from RNAcentral.
UAUCAGACCUCUAGUAAUAGUAAAAUCAAUCAAUAAUUUCCAAAUCUUUUGUAAUUUCCAAAACCCUUUUUGUGGUAGUAAAAUCCUUAUAAUACCAAAAUUCCUUCAAUACCGAAUUCCUUUGAUGCACUGAACUUUAAAAUUUGAUAAUUCUCAAUUUAACCGUUAGAUUGAACUCAAAUUAUUUGAGAAGUAAGGUAAUACCUUUAACUCUUUUAUAUCCAAAUUUCAACUAUCGAUUCUUUACAAAACUCUAGAUAACACAAUUUUAGUAGCACGGCCUUUACAUGUUGACUUACAAACACCUAUAUACUAAUUUUGCGAUUUCUUACAAACCCAACACUCAAAUGAUAUGAAAUUUUUUUGUAUAGCUUUUCAAUAUUAUAACUACGCCUUUGGCAAGUUUGAGCCAAAAUUCAUUCAAAAAUGCUCAAAAAAAAUGGCUCAAAAUAUAACCAUCAAUAAUUCGGUUCACUUACUUCCUUAAUUUGCAAGCUUUGACUUCGGCCAGCCAUUUCUUCCUCAUUUCAGAUCUAAUUUCAUCAAAUCUUAUACAAUAGUUGAAGCCCUUUAAGUCAACUUUUCAACCCCACCUUCCGAUUGUUAAAUGCCUUUCUA